GACGACGUGGCGGAGUGGUUAACGCGAAUACGCCGCUAUGUAUUCCUCAUCGAGGGCGCAGGUUCGACUCCUGCCGUUGUCG
Non-coding RNA from Globomyces pollinis-pini, 82 nucleotides. Lineage: Eukaryota; Fungi; Chytridiomycota; Chytridiomycetes; Rhizophydiales; Globomycetaceae. The record is from the annotation of a GenBank genome assembly.